GACGUAGGGCGCGAGCGUUGUCCGGAUUUAUUGGGCGUAAAGAGCUCGUAGGCGGCUUGUCGAGUCGUCUGUGAAAUCCCGCGGCUCAACUGCGGAUCUGCAGGCGAUACGGGCAAACUGGAGUGUUGCAGGGGAGACUGGAAUUCCUGGUGUAGCGGUGAAAUGCGCAGAUAUCAGGAGGAACACCGGUGGCGAAGGCGGGUCUCUGGGCAACAACUGACGCUGAGGAGCGAAAGCGUGGGGAGCGAACAGG
This 253-nucleotide ribosomal RNA is filed under the name uncultured bacterium. Its description in RNAcentral is "partial 16S ribosomal RNA". It matches the Rfam family "Bacterial small subunit ribosomal RNA", at positions 524 to 776 of the family's 1533-position model. The record is from RNAcentral.